ACCUGCGGAAGGAUCAUUAAUGAAUUCACUAUGGAGUUGUUGCUGGCCUCUAGGGGCAUGUGCACGCUUCACUAGUCUUUCAACCACCUGUGAACUUUUGAUAGAUCUGUGAAGUCGUCUCUCAAGUCGUCAGACUUGGUUGCUGGGAUUUAAACGUCUCGGUGUGACUACGCAGUCUAUUUACUUAACACACCCCAAAUGUAUGUCUACUAAUGUCAUUUAAUGGGCCUUGUGCCUUUAAACCAUAAUACAACUUUCAACAACGGAUCUCUUGGCUCUCGCAUCGAUGAAGAACGCAGCGAAAUGCGAUAAGUAAUGUGAAUUGCAGAAUUCAGUGAAUCAUCGAAUCUUUGAACGCACCUUGCGCCCCUUGGUAUUCCGAGGGGCAUGCCUGUUUGAAUGUCAUUAAAUUCUCAAACUCACUUUGGUUUCUUUCCAAUUGUGAUGUUUGGAUUGUUGGGGGCUGCUGGCCUUGAAAGGCCGGCUCCACGUAAAUGCAUUACCAGGACUUCUCAUUGCCUCUGCGCAUGAUGUGAUAAUUAUCACUCAGCAAUAGCACGCAUGAAUAGUGUCCAGCUCUCUAAUCGUCCGCAAGUACAGUUUGACAAUCUGACCUCAUAUCAGGUAGGAUUACCCGCUGAACUUAAGCAUAUCAAUAAGCGGAGGAAAAGAUACUAACAAGGAUUCCCGUAGUAACUGCGAGUGAAGCGGGAAAAGCUCAAAUUUAAAAUCUGGUGGUCUUUGGCCAUGCGAGUUGUAAUCUAGAGAAGUGUUAUCCGCGCUGGACCGUGUACAAGUCCCCUGGAAUGCGGCGUCAUAGAGGGUGAGAAUCCCGUCUUUGACACGGACUACCAGGGCUUUGUGAUGCACUCUCAAAGAGUCGAGUUGUUUGGGAAUGCAGCUCAAAAUGGGUGGUAAAUUCCAUCUAAAGCUAAAUAUUGGCGAGAGACCGAUAGCGAACAAGUACCGUGAGGGAAAGAUGAAAAGAACUUUGGAAAGAGAGUUAAACAGUACGUGAAAUUGUUGAAAGGGAAACGCUUGAAGUCAGUCGCGUCUGCCAGGGAUCAACCUUACUUUUGUGAGGCGUACUUCCUGGUUGAUGGGUCAGCAUCAGUUUUGGUCGCUGGAUAAAGGUCAGAGAAAUGUGGCACCUUCGGGUGUGUUAUAGUCUUUGAUCAGAUACAGUGGCUGGGACUGAGGAACUCAGCGCCGCAAGGCUGUCUUAGGAUGCUGGCAAAAUGGCU
RNAcentral lists this ribosomal RNA (1244 nucleotides) under Pleurotus ostreatus (oyster mushroom). Its description in RNAcentral is "eukaryotic LSU rRNA". The stretch from base 611 to 1244 matches the Rfam family "Eukaryotic large subunit ribosomal RNA", at positions 1 to 639 of the family's 3401-position model. Lineage: Eukaryota; Fungi; Basidiomycota; Agaricomycetes; Agaricales; Pleurotaceae. The record is from RNAcentral.